GCAUAUUUUAGAGCCAAUAAUCACAAUUAAAAAUUUAUAAAAAUUACUAUCAAAUCCAAUUUACUAUCAAUAUUAAAAUUAAUAACCCAGAAAUAAAUUUAUUGUAACCCAUCUCUUCUUUUAUAUAAACUGCACCUUGAUCUGACAUUAACUAUUAAAUUAAAAAUUGACCAUUAAAAUUCUAAUAAAAUGUUCAAUAACGACGAUAUACAAACUAAAAAUAAAAGUAAAGUAAAUCGUGGACUAUCGAUUAUAGGACAGGUUCCUCUGAAUGGACUAAAAUACCGCCAAAAUCUUUAAUUUUCAAGAAAAUAAACUAUUAAUAAUCAGGUAAUAUUUAUUACAAUUAAA
This 351-nucleotide ribosomal RNA is filed under the name Athous sp. JMA-2000. RNAcentral's name for it is "partial 12S ribosomal RNA". The record is from RNAcentral. Lineage: Eukaryota; Metazoa; Arthropoda; Insecta; Coleoptera; Elateridae.